GAAAGAACAGAGAAAGAAUGGAACAACUUUGAGCGGUGGAUCACUCGGCUCGUGCGUCGAUGAAGAGCGCAGCCAG
RNAcentral lists this ribosomal RNA (76 nucleotides) under Zaptyx pinto. RNAcentral's name for it is "Hemiphaedusa pinto partial 5.8S rRNA". The stretch from base 25 to 76 matches the Rfam family "5.8S ribosomal RNA", at positions 1 to 52 of the family's 154-position model. Rfam says of the family: 5.8S ribosomal RNA (5.8S rRNA) is a component of the large subunit of the eukaryotic ribosome. It is transcribed by RNA polymerase I as part of the 45S precursor that also contains 18S and 28S rRNA. Functionally, it is thought that 5.8S rRNA may be involved in ribosome translocation. Lineage: Eukaryota; Metazoa; Mollusca; Gastropoda; Stylommatophora; Clausiliidae. The record is from RNAcentral.